GCUACAGCGAGGCUAAGCUAGUGGGGGAAAAGUUUCAGUGCAUUCCGUUGAUGUAGACAGCAUGAAAAUGGAAACAAGUAUGCCGGCUCACUGUGCUGCAUACAAUUGCACACUGCGUCGUACGAUUGAGACAAGGAAACUUGGAAUGACUUUUCAUAGGUUUCCCAGAGACUAUGGGUUGAGGAGGAAGUGGAAUUUUGUCGGCUUAGACUUGGUGUCAUUCCAUCAGUGUUAAACUUCCCGACUCGUCUUGGAAGAGUACGUGCCAGAAAGACCACGACCAAGCAGCCUUGAGAUCUUAGGCAGCGUCUCCCUGAGACCAAAGAACUACAGACUUCACAACCUGCUCAAACUCUUGGUACAGGACCUCACCACACGGGUCAAGAAGGUUUCUGUCUCAUUUCUACUCUGAAGCUCACCUUCUCCUGCUCAAACUGCUGACAAAUGUUUCUGCUGCUCUAAAGUCUGGUCUCCAGAACUUCCUAAAAACUCUCAAAGUCUCUUCUGCUGCAGGUUGCUUUGUAGAACUGUUACAGAAAACCUCACUAAACCACGUGGAGGGGCCUCAAGAUAGUCGUCCAAAUGAAACCGAACAAAAACCAAACUAGCACAACCCAAACACUAAAGUCUCCUGCAGCCUACCAGAGAACCUCUGAGAACAGAGAAUCAGGACAGGAACUCUUACCUUCUGGACAACCAACGUUGGUUCUCAAACAAGAAUACAGAAUGUGUCUGACCAAAAACCUCUGAAGACUCACUACAGCCAAGAUAAAGACACAACUCAGCUGCACCAAAUCCACUAAUCACUGCACACAUUAGCACCAUGUGCUAACUGUGGCUAAAGAACCGCAUUUACCAAGACAACUAUCCAGUACAAAGCCCUAAAACACACCAAGAAACACAUUAAAGACGAUUUUACUGCUGGAAGCUGCAAGCCAACGCCUAAAGAACAAACUAGAGAAACGGAGCCAAACCCGGUUCAGUGGUGAAUAGAAGCAGAGGAAAUGUUUGUCUGCAGCUAAAUAAAGCAGGAAGACACUGAGCUGCUCAGGUGUUCCUGAUAACACCAAGCUGCUCAGGUGUUCCUGAUAACACCAAGCAGCCACCUGGGCAGCCAAUAGGAACACAGCUUACUGGAAGUCCAGAGGGCUGGCUUAGUGAAGGAAAUUUAAUUUAAAGUUGAAGCAGAAAGUUAACAAAGAAAGUUGAAAACCACCUUCUGAUACCUGAAAUCUCUGAGUUUUCACAUAAAGAACACCUGAACAUGUCAAACUGGUUUCAUAGUAGAACCAUCAUUGUAAAAACGUCAUAGUAUGGUGUGUUGCUCAAAAAACAUUAGGACCCGGCUGUCAGGGGACAAACAUGUAAGAAACAUGAGAACAGAGAGAACCCAACCAGUAGGUCACAGUUUAUCAUCCCCCAGUCAUCUCCUGAAGUCCAUAUGGUGAGAGACAUCAGUAUCUGGUUGUUAAUUUACCAGAGGAUGCUUAUAAUCAUGUUGAUGUGGUCUGUACUCGACAGUAUUUUAGUGACUCAAUAAAUGCCUAAAUUGUUUUUUUUUUUUAAAUGUGUUUUAGUUUUUAAUAAACAUUUAAUGGCCUAUAUGUAAUCAAUAAAUGGCCUUUGACUAUCUUAAGAAAAACUCACUCAGAACUCUGAUAUGUUAACA
This is a long non-coding RNA of Amphiprion ocellaris (clown anemonefish), 1669 nucleotides long. The record is from Ensembl. Lineage: Eukaryota; Metazoa; Chordata; Actinopteri; Pomacentridae.